Long non-coding RNA from Argiope bruennichi, 2719 nucleotides. RefSeq lists it as uncharacterized. Lineage: Eukaryota; Metazoa; Arthropoda; Arachnida; Araneae; Araneidae. The record is from RefSeq and is a predicted model, not a curated record. The transcript is spliced from 4 exons.
GUAACCUCUCAGCAGCCAGGGGAUAACAGUCUUCGUCGCUAUACCCCACACAGUUUAUGUUCAAGUAAAGAUAACAUAUUGUGUUUUCAAAAACUGCUCAGGAUUCAUAAUGAAAUGAGUAAUAUGGCUGAUCAUUCCACAAAAAAGUAAUUGAAACUAUGAUGCGGAAGCGAUACCUUCAUCCUUAUACUCGACACUCCGUAUGUGAUGGAUUACAUAUAUUGAAGCAGUACAGAUUCAAGGUUGAUUUUAAGAAGAAUCACCAACUGACUCGCAUCACACCGGACCAUGCCGUUUUCGAAUGAAAGAGGGAGAUAUUUUCUUUUGGAUUUACUACUCUGUCACAUUAGAAUAACCAGAUAUUGAUAUGCUCUGACAUUAAUGCCCACCAGCCAGAACUUUGGAGUCAUACAUACUAGCAAGAACUAGUGAGAUAACAUCCGUUUGCAUCACUUUACUUACAAAUACUACUGGGGUGAAACAGAAUGUCAUAUAAAUGGGCAGCGAGGUCAACUCAUCUGCAUUUGAUACUACAGCAGUGCACUGAACAAAGAAUACAUCCGAUGGCGUUGAUUUGAGCAACAGCACAACAAUGCUCCCAACUGUGGAAAGAAUGGCACUUUCAGUUCCAGCUACAAAUUCUACACACAGAGGAUGUCUAGAUUCCCAGGAAAGAACGGUACAGAAGUAAUUUCGAUAUUGACAAAUUUUGACCGAAAUGAUAACGGUGCAACGGAUGACAUCUGGAAUCUUCAGCAAGCGAAUAUUAGAAUUCGAUGUCUUUUGAAUGAAAUAUUGGAUGAAAUUCCAACAGAUGCAGUGUGUAAAAUUACAUUAGACCAAACACAAAAUGCAUAUACUGUACUAAAUAAUUAUCAAUGAUCUGCUUAGUGGAAAUGUGAAUACAUAUGGAGUUAACAUUAUUUGAGUAUAUCAAUACAUCUGUGAAAUGCUUUAUUCUUCUAUUUUUAAUGUGUUGUAUAUUUAUAUAUUUUCGGAGAAUUCUUUCAAUCAAUGCAGUAAUUCUUUUUGAACUUGGAAAAGAGCAUGGAAUGUAGUUGAAGCGCAUGGAAUGUAACUCAUUUAAAAUAUGUGUUUGCAUAUGAAUCAAUAUUUGAUCUUAAAAAUGUUUUCAAAAUUGUUACUCGUAUAUCAAUUUGAAGGAAAUAUAAUGUUCCAAAAGCUAAUAACGUUGAGGUUUGUUUUCUGCAGCUUUAGAAACGAGAAAUUUUUGAAACAAUCUGGACCUAAUGAAACAUUUUUUAUGGAUAAAUUAAAAUUUUACAGUGUGCUUUCUUUUUGUUAUCUACCUAAAGCCAAUUUCCAACAAGACGGAAAGAAUUUUUCUUUCAAGAUUUAUAAAAUUCACUUUAAAUUUUCUUUUGUAACAAUCUUUUAUCAAAACCCGACAGGUACAAAUGUCACUGACCCGCAAUAGUGACAGGGAUCUCAACGAUUGCCACAGAAUUGUAAUUAGUUGAUAUUAAGUCCUAAUAUGUAUGGUACAAUUCUCAAUACAAUAUGGUAAAUAGUGAAUGAAUCAUUACUAUAUUAGAUGAUUUGUUAAAAUUAAUCUUUAUCAUCGAUUGAAUUAUCAUAGUUCUAAAUUUUAAUUGUUCUUAUUGUCAAUCGAUUAGCUACGAUUUCUUCUCAUCAACAUAAUUGUUUGCACUUAGUUUUCAAUUUAUUAACAGUUUUUAUAAAAUAGUUAUGAUUUGUUUUUAUUUAUUACUGAAUGUCAAAACUCGAGAAAGCAAUUUCAUUAAUUUUCCCUGAAUUGAAAUUUCCUAACAUGGUCAAUGCUCAUUAAUUGAAAUACAACUUCUUCAAUCUGAGAACAUUUUGCACAAUUUUUGUAGUUAUAUUAAGUAAAUAUCUGUUCAUUCCUCCAUUUCAAUUAUAUUUUAAAUAAAGAUUUUAUUGUUAUUAAAUUAAAAAUUAGUGAUAAUUCAUUGUUAAUGGAAUUUCAUUUUGCAAUUAUGAAAUGAGUUACCACAAACUCAAUAUAUUUACUAUAACGGUGAUGUGCGUAUAAUUAUGAUUUAGCGAUAAAAUUUGUUUUUUAUAAGGGUCUUGGCAUUUGCCUCUGAAAUAUUUUAUGCGUUUUCACCGCUAUGUUAUCUAGAUCUCUAAUUGAUAGGAUAUGAAAUGCAUUUGUAAGUUUUUAUAAGAAUCUUGGACUCAAGUAAAUUUACAAAAAUUAAAUUCGAUAAAUGUAUUUGUAUGUUUGGCUAAUUUAAAAGAUGCCAAUAAUCACUGCUGUGAAGGCGGGGGAAAUGCGUCUGUACUUUGUGUCAAAGAAAUGGAGAAAAUGAAAUGUCACCAUGACUAUUUUGUCUUCUUAGAUUAUUUGAAAUUUUAAAAAAAAUAUUUUCAGUGAAUAUUGUUCAGAAUGAUUGCUUACAGGAAAAAUUGUUGUGCAUUGAAAAUAUCUUUUAAAUUUAUGUAUUGAAUUUGAUAUUAAUUAUUGGAACUGUAAUUGUUCCAAAAUUAUGUAAUGCAAUAGUACUUUAUACUCUUUUCAUUAACUUUCACAUUUGAUUAAACAUAAAAUGUAUAGAAUUUUUCUUGAGCCGAAAUUUUAAAAACAUAGCAUCAAUGAUCAUUAAUUGUAAUUUAAUUACAAUAAUUCCAGAAAAAAUUUAACUUGUGUAGCUAUAUUAAAUAAGCCUCUGUUCUUUGUAUCCAUUUGCAGUUAUUUUUUUAAAUCAAGAUUUUA